Molecule: ribosomal RNA, 478 nt
Filed under: uncultured bacterium
Lineage: Bacteria
Description: SSU rRNA
Rfam family: Bacterial small subunit ribosomal RNA
Source: RNAcentral
AGGACGAACGCUGGCGGCGUGCUUAACACAUGCAAGUCGAGCGGAAAGGCCCUUCGGGGUACUCGAGCGGCGAACGGGUGAGUAACACGUGAGCAACCUGCCCUUAGCUUUGGGAUAACCCUCGGAAACGGGGGCUAAUACCGAAUGUUCACUGUCGGACGCAUGUUUGACGGUGGAAAGUUUUUUCGGCUAGGGAUGGGCUCGCGGCCUAUCAGCUUGUUGGUGGGGUAAUGGCCUACCAAGGCGACGACGGGUAGCCGGCCUGAGAGGGCGACGGGCCACGACUGGGACUGGAGACACGGCCCAGACUCCUACGGGAGGCAGCAGUGGGGAAUAUUGCACAAUGGGCGAAAGCCUGAUGCAGCGACGCCGCGUGAGGGAUGACGGCCUUCGGGUUGUAAACCUCUUUCAGCUCCGACGAAGCGCAAGUGACGGUAGGAGCAGAAGAAGCGCCGGCCAACUACGUGCCAGCAGCCGC